GACGAACGCUGGCGGCGUGCUUAACACAUGCAAGUCGAACGGAAAGGCCCUGCUUUUGUGGGGUGCUCGAGUGGCGAACGGGUGAGAAACAUGUGAGUAACCUGACUUUGACUUUGGGAUAACUUCAGGAAACUGGGGCUAAUACCGGAUAGGAGCUCCUGCAGCAUGGUGGGGGUUGGAAAGUUUCGGCGGUUGGGGUUGGACUCGGGGCUUAUCAGCUUGUUGGUGGGGUAGUGGCUUACCUAGGCUUCGACGGGUAGCCGGCCUGAGAGGGUGACCGGACACAUGGGGACUACGAUACGGCCAAGACGCCGACGGGAGGCAUCAGUAGUGAAUAUUACACAAUGGGCGGAAGCCUGAUGCAGCAACGCCGCGUGCGGGAUGACGGCCUUCGGGUUGUAAACCGCUUUCGCCUGUGACGAAGCGGGAGUGACGGUAAUGGGUAAAGAAGCACCGGCUAACUACGUG
This 468-nucleotide ribosomal RNA is filed under the name uncultured bacterium. RNAcentral's name for it is "partial 16S ribosomal RNA". It matches the Rfam family "Bacterial small subunit ribosomal RNA", at positions 28 to 507 of the family's 1533-position model. The record is from RNAcentral.